This 193-nucleotide ribosomal RNA is filed under the name uncultured eukaryote. RNAcentral describes it as "partial 18S ribosomal RNA". It matches the Rfam family "Eukaryotic small subunit ribosomal RNA", at positions 1 to 191 of the family's 1831-position model. The record is from RNAcentral.
CAACCUGGUUGAUCCUGCCAGUUGACAUAUGCUUGUCUCAAAGACUAAGCCAUGCAUGUCUAAGUAUAAACAACUUUAUACUGUGAAACUGCGUACAGCUCAUUAUAUCAGCAAUUAUUUAUUUGAUGGUUCCUUACUACUUGGAUACCCGUAGUAAUUCUAGAGCUAAUACAUGCGCAAAGUCCCAACCUUC